ACCAUUUAAGAAGCCUUUAUAAGGGAGCAUGUCCUUCUCUAUUGGGAUGUUAUGUGAUUAUCUUAUUUAUGUUAUUUCUCCAUAGUUACUGAUAUAACAGUGACUGGCUUUCCGAGGAUGAAACCCCUUGGAAAUUCAAAGGUUCGAUGGAAACCCAAUCUUCCAUGAGAGGUGGAUUCAAUCAUAAUUCACUACCUGGGCUUUAUUUGCAGAAGUUUGGUUCUCUUUUGGAAACAGUUAGCAGGGAUGGUGAUUAAGUAUAUUUGACAUACCAAAUUUGAAAGGAAACUAAUGCAAAUCCUUGACUUAUUCUACGACCAACAUUGAGGAUGUUUGGCUCCCUUCUAAGUGCCGAUCAUAGCAUUUGUAUAACAAAGAAAACGUCAUAAUUGCAGGCACAUGAGAUCCAUCCACUACUUAGCGCUGCUGUUGAAAAUUUCCUCCUGUAAACACAGAAAGCCAUAUCGGCUUACCUUCUUGGCCUAGCAAAUGAUUCGAUUGUGCUUUAUCUGGACUGGGUCACACGUCAGGUUUAUAGACUGGCAAUCUGAACCUUAUUGGGCAUUCAUUCUCAGCGAGCUUGCACUGUGAAGUGAUAUAGUGGCUUAGGAGAAUCGUGGGUACUUUCAACCUGAGGUGUCGUGUGAAUACAUGCAAUGAAGUCACUGUGCAAUUCAAGCAAAGUCUCAGACCUUGCGGUGACAGUGAAGCUUAUUGCGGAGACAAACUGACCACAUUGGAGUACUUUGUUGUUACCAGACAACUAUUUGACCAAAUGUCUAUUUGUGAACUUGUGGAAUUUUGAUAAGAUUUGAGUUCAAAACUAGUAAGGAUUCUUACAGUGGUAUCAGAGCUUGGAUCCUGCCAUCCUUUGGGUUUGCUUCAGUUUGUUUAUGCAGCCAAGUGAUAGAGAAAGGAGGUACUAUCAGAGAGAACUAAGAAAAUUUGGCAACCCCCUCAAGUACUUGAAGGUAAAAUAGUGUCCGGAAUCCUAGGUGCUAAACAAGGCUCAUCUUCAAAUUUUGCAAAGAGUAUGGGUGACAGGAGAGAUAACAGUCCACCACGAAAUGAUGAUGGCAGGGAAGCAAGAGACAUUAUGAGAGGAAUUCAAGUAGGACAGGAGUAGGUAGCCAAUGUAUUACAACAACUUACAUUUGCCAUCCAGCAAUUGAGUACUACACGCAGGUGACCACAAUGCAACCAAGCAGAUGGUGACAAUAUGGUUGGAUCCCCAUGAGCAGAAAGAGCUCCUACAUGCUCUACGGAUAGGCCUUCGAUGCCAGAAGAAGAGGUGAACAAUGUUGAUGGGGACAUAGCAUUUCCGAAUAAUGUGAUGACCAUGCAUGAUGGGUGGAGUACCCUUCCACAACAUGUUAGAGCAGAUUUGCCCUUCACCCAAUACAUGGGACAACAAAGGAAAAGUGGUAGAACAAGACAAGAGUGGAGGCCAUGGCAAUAAAACAAAGACCUCAAGCAAGCUACUAAUAAACUAACUCUUCCCACAUUUGAUGGAAGUGGAAAGACAGGUGCAAGGGCAUGGAUUCACAAAGUGGACACCUUCUUGACUCUCAAGCCAAUAAAGGAAGUAGAUGCAAUCAAGUUUGCAACCAUGUAUCUAGAAGGGGUAACUUAUGAUUGGUGGCACCAUGGGUUGUAACACAAGACCAUGGAUUAAUACAUUCUUAUGAAGAGUUUAGUAACAAGUUGAUUGCACGCUUUCACAGGAAAGAUGUGGAAGUGUAUUACAGAGAGCUAACACAAUUAAGGCAAGUUGGGUCCUUGGAUGCCUACAUUAAUAAGUUUCAAAAAAUUGUUGUUAGUGUGAUGCAGGAGCAUCCCCGGUCAAUGAGCAAUCUUGCAUCAACAAAAAAUAUUUCCUUUCAGUUUAGUUCUUGUUCAGUUUUGUGUCGAAUUUUUUGUGUUCCUACUGGUAUGUUCUGGUGGUGGCUUGUUUUUCAUUGCAGAUCAGGUUUUCGGUUUCCAGGCUUGUUUAUGUGCUUAAUUCCAGCUUUUCAGUCCAUUUGGAUUUUUUUCUGGCAAGAUACUGCUUCCAGUUUGACUGCUUUUGGGUUCCAGAGCAGUUUUGGGCUUACCAGUUGGUUUUCUUCUUUUUCGGAGCAGUUUUGGGCUUAUCGGUUCGUUUUCUUAUUUUUCGAAGCGAUUUCUUAGCAUGUGGAUCUAUUUUGGGUCUUGCUUAAUGUUCCUAAGUCCUUGGUCGACCAACCUGUUGAUCCACACUUCUCGGUUGUUCUUUACUGGAAGAAUUCCUUUCAUUCUUGGGGCUGACCUAUUUACACGUUUCAUUUUUUCUGCAUUGGUAAAUGUAAUCUUUUGUGGCCGACCCGAAUAUGUUUCGGAAGGUAUAUAUGGUAUUAUGUAAUCAUUUGUAGGGCAGUAGAUCAGAAUGAGAUUCUAGAUUCAUGAUUAGAGAUUCAAAUGACUUUGAGAGUUCCAGAUGGAUUGUA
Molecule: long non-coding RNA, 2465 nt
Organism: Cryptomeria japonica (Japanese cedar)
Lineage: Eukaryota; Viridiplantae; Streptophyta; Pinopsida; Cupressales; Cupressaceae
Exons: 2
Source: RefSeq, a predicted model, not a curated record